CAAAAAAUAGUUUAGAAAAAGAAUAUUAAUUUUGGAGAUUAAUGGCAUAAAUGAAUUUAUUUUUUUGA
This 68-nucleotide transfer RNA is filed under the name Anoplolepis gracilipes. RNAcentral describes it as "tRNA-Pro". Lineage: Eukaryota; Metazoa; Arthropoda; Insecta; Hymenoptera; Formicidae. The record is from RNAcentral.